Molecule: ribosomal RNA, 283 nt
Filed under: uncultured bacterium
Lineage: Bacteria
Description: partial 16S ribosomal RNA
Rfam family: Bacterial small subunit ribosomal RNA
Source: RNAcentral
CGGUAAGGAGGCGGGAGUGACUUAGCGGCGGACGGGUGAGUAACGCGUGGGUAACCUGCCCCAUACCGGGGGAUAACGGUUAGAAAUGACCGCUAAUACCGCUUAAGCGCGCGAGGCCGCAUGGCCGUGCGCGAAAAACUCCGGUGGUAUGGGAUGGGCCCGCGUCUGAUUAGGUAGUUGGCGGGGUAAGGGCCCACCAAGCCGACGAUCAGUAGCCGACCUGAGAGGGUGGCCGGCCACAUUGGGACUGAGACACGGCCCAAACUCCUACGGGAGGCAGCAG